RNAcentral lists this transfer RNA (72 nucleotides) under Salvia splendens (bonfire salvia). It matches the Rfam family "tRNA". Rfam says of the family: Transfer RNA (tRNA) molecules are approximately 80 nucleotides in length. Their secondary structure includes four short double-helical elements and three loops (D, anti-codon, and T loops). Lineage: Eukaryota; Viridiplantae; Streptophyta; Magnoliopsida; Lamiales; Lamiaceae. The record is from Rfam by way of RNAcentral.
GUGCUUAUAGUCCAAUGGUUAGGAUUAUUGCCCUCCAAGCAAUAGACCUGGGUUCAAACCCCGGCAAACGCA